GCAAGUCGAACGCGAAAGGGACUUCGGUCCUGAGUAAAGUGGCGCACGGGUGAGUAACGCGUAGAUAACCUGUCUUCAUGUCUGGAAUAAUACGCCGAAAGGGGUACUAAUACCGGAUAUUCUUGCUUUUCAUAAGUUAUGCAAGCAAAGGUGGCCUCUGCAUAUGCUACUGCAUGAAGAGGGGUCUGCGUACCAUUAGCUAGUAGGUGGGGUAAUGGCCUACCUAGGCGACGAUGGUUAGCGGGUCUGAGAGGAUGAUCCGCCACACUGGCACUGGAACACGGGCCAGACUCCUACGGGAGGCAGCAGUGAGGAAUAUUGCGCAAUGGGGGAAACCCUGACGCAGCGACGCCGCGUGAAGUGAGGAAGGCCUUCGGGUCGUAAAGCUCUGUCAAGAGGAAAGAAGUGUACAAUGGCUAAUACCUGUUGUAUUUGACGGUACCUCUAAAGGAAGCACCGGCUAACUCCGUGCCAGCAGCCGC
This 482-nucleotide ribosomal RNA is filed under the name uncultured bacterium. RNAcentral describes it as "bacterial SSU rRNA". It matches the Rfam family "Bacterial small subunit ribosomal RNA", at positions 57 to 518 of the family's 1533-position model. The record is from RNAcentral.